UUUUCUCUCGCCAAAAACACUUUGCCCGAUAGCUUCUCCAUCACACAAUUCAACAUUCAUCUCCAUCAUAGCCUUUGUUUCUCUUCUCUCCCAUAAUCUGACAAAUUGACCUUCCUUAUCUUCUCUAUCUAGUUAUACACUACUUUCUCUUACACUCUUCCACCUCUUCAGUUCUCAUUCACUUUCUUUCUCUUCAUCUCCACGCCACUCUUUCGCCUCGACUGCCUCUCUCUUUCAUCACUUUCAUUCCUCUGCCUCUCUCUCCCUCCUCGACGAAGCCCUAAUGCUCUCAGUAAUAUGAUGCUUCAAUCACUGAGGCUUUGGGGUCGCACAAGAUUAAGAAACGUUAAUGGCCUAUUUUAAAACUUAUGCAGAUGGUGAUGGUGGGAGUGGGAGUGGAUUGAUAGGCUAAGCUCGGUAACAAUAGUUUGUGUUACUAAGCAUUUGUCUAGUCUACCAAUUACUAUCGUGCUGCCAUUGAUUCCAGUUUGUCUUAACUCAAAUCCUUUCUUGGAGCUAUCAGCUGCUAUGCUUCUGCUUCAUUCGCCAAGUACAAUGUUGCAUGUGAUCAGUUUUUACUAGCCUGAUUUUGCUGUCGUGUUCUAUGACUAUUGGAACCAAACAGAGUGGUUGAGGAGUAAAAACUGAUCUAGGGUAUUGGCAAACUGGAAUUUUAAGCUUUUGUCAGGUAGGACAUCCUUGGUUUUCUAUCUUGAUGAGGACAGACGUUUUUAAUGACAAAGAUAAUCAUUAUGAGUUUCCAGCUAAUCUGCUAUAAAAAAGAGAAGCCUCUCAAUAGCAUUCAGCUUUAAGCUUCCCGUCAGGCCCCUUGUGAGUUGUGCCUUACUUUUAGCUUGAUUUUCUAUUUAUUUUGGAUUUGACCAUAGCCAUAGAACUUGUUUCGGCAGCUGAUUUAAUUGAGAGAAUUACUUGUGCAAUCAAAGAUUCCUAAUUGCUUUGAGUUUCAUUUUAAUUAAGAAAGGAAUUUUUUAAAUUUGGUUACAAAUAUUUAUGAAUAAUCACAUUAGCAUUUUCAAAUUACCACAAGUCCUUUAUUAAUGAAAUAAUGAGUCUUGCUUUUACGUUUGAAUUAUUACGAGUCCUCCAUUAAACGUUUUAUUACUUGAUUUUUCAUUUCUUAUAAACUAUCUUUGUGGAAUUAAUCAGUGUUCUCUUUUCAAGUCAUUGUGUGGUAUUGAAUGUUUACUUAGAUACUUUCGUCUCAAUAUGAGGCUGCUCAUGCUUUUUCUUGGUCUACUCUCCUUGAUAAAUCAUUUUGUGGAACGUCUUUGCCUCUGUUGGUGGCCAAUUUAGACAUUAUACUUGUAAGCAUGACUUCUAUUACUGACAUUUUGUAAUUGAUUGAUUGUUUAUAAGCCAGUCUUUGACAAGUCUAAUGUUCUUGUGACAUCUAUUCAGGCACAAUAUGACUUACAUGAUGAUUGGCACAAUAUUCCAAGAGAUGUGACAAGAGAAAUAGAAAAUGAUACUUAAUUUUGAAGGCUUUAUGUUGGACAGCUGUAGAAUAUUUUGUGCUGAAAGUAGUAACUUUUCAAUAUGUUGAAUAUUUAAGAGUACUUGAAUACUUAAAGAAAAUUUUGUUGUU
Molecule: long non-coding RNA, 1606 nt
Organism: Humulus lupulus (European hop)
Lineage: Eukaryota; Viridiplantae; Streptophyta; Magnoliopsida; Rosales; Cannabaceae
Exons: 8
Source: RefSeq, a predicted model, not a curated record